CCUUUUUCUUAAACCAAAGUAGUAAAAAAGAAACUUAAUAAUUUGACGGUACCUAAUAUCAUAAAGGAGCUUGUAAUUUAAUCGUCAGUACACGCUUUAUCUUACUUAAUAAAACUUGUAUACCUCCGUUAAAGAUAUUAUUGAAAAUUAAAACAAAUUUCAAAAAAAUAAAAAAAAUUCAUAAAUCAGGUCAAGGUGCAGUUUUUUAAGAUACUAUGAGCUACAUUCAAAAAUUAUAGAUGAAUUAAUUAUCUGAAAAAAAUUAUGAAAAUGAAUUUAUAAAUAAAGUAAAAUUAAUAUAUUUACUUGAAAAUCAUUAGAUAUGU
Molecule: ribosomal RNA, 326 nt
Filed under: Peripatopsis sedgwicki
Lineage: Eukaryota; Metazoa; Onychophora; Udeonychophora; Euonychophora; Peripatopsidae
Description: partial 12S ribosomal RNA
Source: RNAcentral